This 770-nucleotide ribosomal RNA is filed under the name uncultured cyanobacterium. RNAcentral's name for it is "bacterial SSU rRNA". It matches the Rfam family "Bacterial small subunit ribosomal RNA", at positions 36 to 848 of the family's 1533-position model. The record is from RNAcentral. Lineage: Bacteria; Bacillati; Cyanobacteriota.
CUGGCGGCGUGCCUAACACAUGCAAGUCGAACGGGAAUCUUCGGAUUCUAGUGGCGGACGGGUGAGUAACGCGUAAGAAUCUAACUUCAGGACGGGGACAACAGUUGGAAACGACUGCUAAUACCCGAUGUGCCGCAAGGUGAAAACUAAUUGGCCUGAAGAAGAGCUUGCGUCUGAUUAGCUAGUUGGUGGGGUAAGAGCCUACCAAGGCGACGAUCAGUAGCUGGUCUGAGAGGAUGAGCAGCCACACUGGGACUGAGACACGGCCCAGACUCCUACGGGAGGCAGCAGUGGGGAAUUUUCCGCAAUGGGCGAAAGCCUGACGGAGCAACGCCGCGUGAGGGAGGAAGGUCUUUGGAUUGUAAACCUCUUUUCUCAAGGAAGAAGUUCUGACGGUACUUGAGGAAUCAGCCUCGGCUAACUCCGUGCCAGCAGCCGCGGUAAUACGGGGGAGGCAAGCGUUAUCCGGAAUUAUUGGGCGUAAAGCGUCCGCAGGUGGUCAGCCAAGUCUGCCGUCAAAUCAGGUUGCUUAACGACCUAAAGGCGGUGGAAACUGGCAGACUAGAGAGCAGUAGGGGUAGCAGGAAUUCCCAGUGUAGCGGUGAAAUGCGUAGAGAUUGGGAAGAACAUCGGUGGCGAAAGCGUGCUACUGGGCUGUAUCUGACACUCAGGGACGAAAGCUAGGGGAGCGAAAGGGAUUAGAUACCCCUGUAGUCCUAGCCGUAAACGAUGGAUACUAGGCGUGGCUUGUAUCGACCCGAGCCGUGCCG